Molecule: ribosomal RNA, 718 nt
Filed under: uncultured bacterium
Lineage: Bacteria
Description: bacterial SSU rRNA
Rfam family: Bacterial small subunit ribosomal RNA
Source: RNAcentral
AAAGCGAGCGGCGGAUGGGUGAGUAACACGUGGGGAACCUGCCCCUAAGUCUGGGAUACCAUUUGGAAACAGGUGCUAAUACCGGAUAAUAAAACAGAUCGCAUGAUCAGCUUUUGAAAGGCGGCGUAAGCUGUCGCUAAGGGAUGGCCCCGCGGUGCAUUAGCUAGUUGGUAAGGUAACGGCUUACCAAGGCGACGAUGCAUAGCCGAGUUGAGAGACUGAUCGGCCACAUUGGGACUGAGACACGGCCCAAACUCCUACGGGAGGCAGCAGUAGGGAAUCUUCCACAAUGGACGCAAGUCUGAUGGAGCAACGCCGCGUGAGUGAAGAAGGUUUUCGGAUCGUAAAGCUCUGUUGUUGGUGAAGAAGGAUAGAGGUAGUAACUGGCCUUUAUUUGACGGUAAUCAACCAGAAAGUCACGGCUAACUACGUGCCAGCAGCCGCGGUAAUACGUAGGUGGCAAGCGUUGUCCGGAUUUAUUGGGCGUAAAGCGAGCGCAGGCGGAAAAAUAAGUCUAAUGUGAAAGCCCUCGGCUUAACCGAGGAACUGCAUCGGAAACUGUUUUUCUUGAGUGCAGAAAAGGAGAGUGGAACUCCAUGUGUAGCGGUGGAAUGCGUAGAUAUAUGGAAGAACACCAGUGGCGAAGGCGGCUCUCUGGUCUGCAACUGACGCUGAGGCUCGAAAGCAUGGGUAGCGAACAGGGAUUAGAUACCCUGGU